Molecule: transfer RNA, 69 nt
Filed under: Candidatus Brachybacter algidus
Lineage: Bacteria; Pseudomonadati; Bacteroidota; Saprospiria; Saprospirales; Saprospiraceae
Description: tRNA-Arg
Rfam family: tRNA
About the family: Transfer RNA (tRNA) molecules are approximately 80 nucleotides in length. Their secondary structure includes four short double-helical elements and three loops (D, anti-codon, and T loops). Further hydrogen bonds mediate the characteristic L-shaped molecular structure. tRNAs have two regions of fundamental functional importance: the anti-codon, which is responsible for specific mRNA codon recognition, and the 3' end, to which the tRNAs corresponding amino acid is attached (by aminoacyl-tRNA synthetases). tRNAs cope with the degeneracy of the genetic code in two manners: having more than one tRNA (with a specific anti-codon) for a particular amino acid; and 'wobble' base-pairing, i.e. permitting non-standard base-pairing at the 3rd anti-codon position.
Source: RNAcentral
AUGGAAAUAAUAGAAUUCUACUGCCUUCUAAGCAGUAGGUCAUAGGUUCGAAUCCUAUUGGGACUACCA